AUUCUCAGGGCGGGGUGAAAUUCCCCACCGGCGGAGACAGCCCGCGAGCCUUAAACGGUAAGAUCAUGGUGAAAAUCCUGAGCCGACGGUAAAAGUCCGGAUAGAAGAGAGUA
This 113-nucleotide non-coding RNA is filed under the name uncultured Ruminobacter sp. Its description in RNAcentral is "FMN riboswitch (RFN element)". It matches the Rfam family "FMN riboswitch aptamer (RFN element)". Rfam says of the family: The RFN element is a highly conserved domain that is found frequently in the 5'-untranslated regions of prokaryotic mRNAs that encode for flavin mononucleotide (FMN) biosynthesis and transport proteins. This element is a metabolite-dependent riboswitch that directly binds FMN in the absence of proteins. In Bacillus subtilis, the riboswitch most likely controls gene expression by causing premature transcription termination within the 5' untranslated region of the ribDEAHT operon and precluding access to the ribosome-binding site of ypaA mRNA. The record is from RNAcentral. Lineage: Bacteria; Pseudomonadati; Pseudomonadota; Gammaproteobacteria; Aeromonadales; Succinivibrionaceae.